GAUGAAGAACGUAGCAAAAUGCGAUACUUGGUGUGAAUUGCAGAAUCCCGUGAACCAUCGAGUUUUUGAACGCAAGUUGCGCCCGAAGCCUUUUGGCCGAGGGCACGUCUGCCUGGGCGUCACGCAUCGCGUCGCCCCCCACAAUUCUCCGUAAAGGGAACAUGUGUUUUGGGGGCGGAUAUUGGUCUCCCGUGCUCAUGGCGUGGUUGGCCGAAAUAGGAGUCCUUUCGAUGGACGCACGAACUAGUGGUGGUCGUAAAAACCCUCGUCUUUUGUUUCGUGUUGUUGCUCGCAAGGUAAACUCUUUAAAAACCCCAAUGUGUCGUCUCUUGACGACGCUUCGACCGCGACCCCAGGUCAGGCGGGACUACCCGCUGAGUUUAAGCAUAUCAAUAAGCGGAGGA
This 404-nucleotide unclassified non-coding RNA is filed under the name soil metagenome. RNAcentral describes it as "partial contains 5.8S ribosomal RNA, internal transcribed spacer 2, and large subunit ribosomal RNA". The stretch from base 1 to 122 matches the Rfam family "5.8S ribosomal RNA", at positions 35 to 154 of the family's 154-position model. The record is from RNAcentral.